Molecule: ribosomal RNA, 253 nt
Filed under: uncultured bacterium
Lineage: Bacteria
Description: partial 16S ribosomal RNA
Rfam family: Bacterial small subunit ribosomal RNA
Source: RNAcentral
UACGUAGGGGGCAAGCGUUGUCCGGAAUCAUUGGGCGUAAAGAGCGCGUAGGCGGCCCUGUAAGUCCGCUGUGAAAGUCAAGGGCUCAACCCUUGGAUGCCGGUGGAUACUGCAGGGCUAGAGUCCGGAAGAGGCGAGUGGAAUUCCUGGUGUAGCAGUGAAAUGCGCAGAUAUCAGGAGGAACACCGAUGGCGAAGGCAGCUCGCUGGGACGGUACUGACGCUGAGGCGCGAAAGCGUGGGGAGCAAACAGG